GUUGGGUGUGGAGAUGUGUUGGGCUUGGCGUGCUGUAUCUUUUUGCAGCUGCCCUAGGUUGUCAGUUUGCUGCAGUGUGAGCCGACCCUGUCUUGGCUGUGGAUGUCCCUAUGUGGGUAGAUGUAUACCUGGGCGGUUGGCGUUGGGUGUCUCGAUUCGGUAAAAUGAGUGAUUUGGAGGAAGAGGAGGACUCUGUGUCCAUGAAGAGUGACUUUUCCAAAGAAGAACCUUUUUAUUCUUCAGUAAAAAAAAAACAGGACCUUUUAGACAGUCUGUUUCUGUUGUAAACUCAUCCAUAGAAUAAUCUGUUAUUUAAUGUUAUCUGCUAGGCACUACAACUCUGUUCUUGUAUAAUUUCAUGAGAAUUUUAUUAUUAUAGCCCUUUACUGAUA
Perca flavescens (yellow perch) is the source of this 392-nucleotide long non-coding RNA. RefSeq lists it as uncharacterized. The transcript is spliced from 3 exons. The record is from RefSeq and is a predicted model, not a curated record. Lineage: Eukaryota; Metazoa; Chordata; Actinopteri; Perciformes; Percidae.